This 222-nucleotide ribosomal RNA is filed under the name Brevibacillus laterosporus. Its description in RNAcentral is "partial 23S ribosomal RNA". It matches the Rfam family "Bacterial large subunit ribosomal RNA", at positions 1457 to 1677 of the family's 2925-position model. Lineage: Bacteria; Bacillati; Bacillota; Bacilli; Caryophanales; Paenibacillaceae. The record is from RNAcentral.
UUGAGCAAUGGCGUGACGCAGGAGGAUAGGGUGAGCGGCCUAUUGGAUGGCCGUCUAAGCAGUAAGUGUGGUGUGUAGGCAAAUCCGCACACCAGUAAGCACAAGCUGUGAUGGCGAGGGAAAUAUAAGUACCGAAGUCCCUGAUUUCACACUGCCAAGAAAAGCGUCUAGCGAGGAACAAGGUGCCCGUACCGCAAACCGACACAGGUAGGCGAGGAGAGA